This 504-nucleotide ribosomal RNA is filed under the name uncultured Geobacter sp. RNAcentral describes it as "bacterial SSU rRNA". It matches the Rfam family "Bacterial small subunit ribosomal RNA", at positions 335 to 831 of the family's 1533-position model. The record is from RNAcentral. Lineage: Bacteria; Pseudomonadati; Thermodesulfobacteriota; Desulfuromonadia; Geobacterales; Geobacteraceae.
ACUCCUACGGGAGGCAGCAGUGGGGAAUUUUGCGCAAUGGGGGAAACCCUGACGCAGCGACGCCGUGUGAGUGAUGAAGGCCUUCGGGUCGUAAAGCUCUGUCGAAGGGGAAGAAAUGCGGGGUGCUAAUACCACUUUCGCUUGACGGUACCCUGGAAGGAAGCACCGGCUGACUCCGUGCCAGCAGCCGCGGUAAUACGGAGGGUGCGAGCGUUGUUCGGAAUCAUUGGGCGUAAAGCGCGUGUAGGCGGCUUGUCAGGUCUGAUGUGAAAGCCCCGGGCUCAACCCGGGAAGCGCAUUGGAAACUGGCAGACUUGAAUACGGGAGAGGGUAGUGGAAUUCCUAGUGUAGGAGUGAAAUCCGUAGAUAUUAGGAGGAACACCGGUGGCGAAGGCGGCUACCUGGACCGAUAUUGACGCUGAGACGCGAAAGCGUGGGGAGCAAACAGGAUUAGAUACCCUGGUAGUCCACGCCGUAAACGAUGAGAACUAGGUGUUGCGGGUA